UACGGGGGGUGCGAGCGUUGUCCGAAAUCACUGGGCGUAAAGGGCGCGUAGGUGGUUUGAUAAGGGUGUGGUGAAAGUCCGGAGCUCAACUCCGGAUCUGCCGUGCCGACUGUCAAACUCGAGGGCUGUAGAGACAGACGGAAUUCCGGGUGUAGCGGUGGAAUGCGUAGAGAUCCGGAGGAAGACCGGUGGCGAAGGCGGCCUGCUGGGCAGUAGCUGACGCUGAUGCGCGACAGCGUGGGGAGCAAACAGG
This 253-nucleotide ribosomal RNA is filed under the name uncultured bacterium. RNAcentral's name for it is "partial 16S ribosomal RNA". It matches the Rfam family "Bacterial small subunit ribosomal RNA", at positions 524 to 776 of the family's 1533-position model. The record is from RNAcentral.